This 861-nucleotide long non-coding RNA is filed under the name Heterocephalus glaber (naked mole-rat). RNAcentral describes it as "lncRNA (ENSHGLG00000045112.1)". The record is from RNAcentral. Lineage: Eukaryota; Metazoa; Chordata; Mammalia; Rodentia; Bathyergidae.
CACAAGGAGGCCCCAGGGGAGGGUGGGGCAUCCUGCAGAGAGCUGCCCGCGGGAGCCUGGAGGCGGAGAGAUCCAGUGAGGACGGUGUGUGCGCUUCACACCGAGCAAACACUAGCUUCGGAGGUGGGCGGUGAGAAGCCUGGCGUGGCCGCUGCUCCUUCCUCUCCCCCGCCUCUCCCUGCGGGCCUGGCCCUGUGUGCUGGUCUCUGCCCUGCUCGGGCGGGCGGGUCCAUGGCGGGGUGGGUCCGGGUAGAGCAGCAAAUACUCCUGCCAGGCACGGCUGGGCCAGUGGAGAUAAGGGGCGCAGGCUCUGCCGGCUGGAAUCCGGGCCUUGGCUCCUCUGGGGGGAGUGGGGCACCCGUCUGGGCCCUCAGGCUCAGCUCUCUAGCGGCUGGGCACCGGGGCCCUUCCCCUUGGAAGGUGGCGCACACCUGUGAUCCCAGCACUCUGGGAGGCUGAGGCAGGAGGAUCGCAAGUCCAAGCCAAGCCUGGGCAACUUAGCGACUUAGCGAGACCCAGUCUCAAAAUGAGAAAUAAAAAGGGCCGGGAUUCAGUGCGAAGGCCCUGGUUCCCCCCCCCCCAGCAUCUCCCCGGCGAUUCUGUGCUUUGUCCUUCGCGCUGGGCACACACAGCUUCACCUAGUCCUGUGCCUAGAAUCUGCCCAAGAGUGAUGGACACAUGUGUGAUGGAUCGAAAUGUACGGAUCUCAGACUUCUCCCAUCAGUUCAGCGACUUGUGAAUCCAUGGAGUUGCGCAGCAAUUCCCAGGGUCCGUCUGGAGCAUUUCCAUCCCUCCCAGGGGCCAGCCUGGGGUACACAGUGAGGCCCUGUCUCGAAACACCAACACAAACAAAUAAAACCC